This 301-nucleotide ribosomal RNA is filed under the name uncultured bacterium. Its description in RNAcentral is "partial 16S ribosomal RNA". It matches the Rfam family "Bacterial small subunit ribosomal RNA", at positions 509 to 807 of the family's 1533-position model. The record is from RNAcentral.
CAGCCGCCACGGUAAUACGUAGGUGGCAAGCGUUGUCCGGAAUUAUUGGGCGUAAAGGGCUCGCAGGCGGUUUCUUAAGUCUGAUGUGAAAGCCCCCGGCUCAACUGGGGAGGGUCAUUGGAAACUGGGAAACUUGAGUGCAGAAGAGGAGAGUGGAAUUCCACGUGUAGCGGUGAAAUGCGUAGAGAUGUGGAGGAACACCAGUGGCGAAGGCGACUCUCUGGUCUGUAACUGACGCUGAGGAGCGAAAGCGUGGGGAGCGAACAGGAUUAGAUACCCCCGUAGUCCCUGUCUCUUAUAC